This 519-nucleotide ribosomal RNA is filed under the name uncultured bacterium. RNAcentral's name for it is "partial 16S ribosomal RNA". It matches the Rfam family "Bacterial small subunit ribosomal RNA", at positions 355 to 891 of the family's 1533-position model. The record is from RNAcentral.
UGGGGAAUAUUGGACAAUGGGGGCAACCCUGAUCCAGCAAUGCCGCGUGUGUGAAGAAGGUUUUCGGAUUGUAAAGCACUUUCGGCGGGGACGAUGAUGACGGUACCCGCAGAAGAAGCCCCGGCUAACUUCGUGCCAGCAGCCGCGGUAAUACGAAGGGGGCUAGCGUUGCUCGGAAUGACUGGGCGUAAAGGGCGUGUAGGCGGUUUGUACAGUCAGAUGUGAAAUCCCCGGGCUUAACCUGGGAGCUGCAUUUGAUACGUGUAGACUAGAGUGUGAGAGAGGGUUGUGGAAUUCCCAGUGUAGAGGUGAAAUUCGUAGAUAUUGGGAAGAACACCGGUGGCGAAGGCGGCAACCUGGCUCAUAACUGACGCUGAGGCGCGAAAGCGUGGGGAGCAAACAGGAUUAGAUACCCUGGUAGUCCACGCUGUAAACGAUGUGUGCUAGAUGUUGGGUAACUUAGUUAUUCAGUGUCGCAGUUAACGCGUUAAGCACACCGCCUGGGGAGUACGGCCGCAA